AAAAGUUCUUUGAAAAGUAGAUAAACAAAGUCUCUAAUGACGCACCAAUGAAGGAAAUAAGGGCGUACAGUGGAUGCCUUGGCACUAAGAGCCGAUG
RNAcentral lists this ribosomal RNA (97 nucleotides) under Candidatus Phytoplasma palmicola. RNAcentral's name for it is "partial 23S ribosomal RNA". Lineage: Bacteria; Bacillati; Mycoplasmatota; Mollicutes; Acholeplasmatales; Acholeplasmataceae. RNAcentral also lists the same sequence under 1 other name. The record is from RNAcentral.